UACGUAGGGGGCAAGCGUUGUCCGGAUUUAUUGGGCGUAAAGAGCUCGUAGGCGGUUCGGUAAGUCGGGUGUGAAACCUCCAGGCUCAACCUGGAGAGGCCACCUGAUACUGCUGUGACUCGAGUCCGGUAGGGGAGCGUGGAAUUCCUGGUGUAGCGGUGAAAUGCGUAGAUAUCUGGAGGAACACCGGUGGCGAAGGCGGCAUCCUGGACCGGCAUUGACGCUGAGGCGCGAAAGCUAGGGGAGCAAACGGG
RNAcentral lists this ribosomal RNA (254 nucleotides) under uncultured bacterium. RNAcentral's name for it is "partial 16S ribosomal RNA". It matches the Rfam family "Bacterial small subunit ribosomal RNA", at positions 524 to 776 of the family's 1533-position model. The record is from RNAcentral.